GAUGAACGCUGGCGGCGUGCCUAACACAUGCAAGUCGAACGGAAAGACAAUAAGGUCGUUCGCUUACCGGUAGCGAGUGACGGGCGAGUGAGGAAUACACCCGAAGCUAAUUUUUCGGGGAGCAUAACGUAAGGAAAGUUACGGUAAGACAACAUAGCAUCUACUGGAUAAUUCAAUGGUACUUGAUAGCUUGCGCGAUUUACAUAGCCGCUGUCGGAUUCUCUAGUUGAUUGGGUAAUGGACCACCAAGCCGACGAUCCGUAGCUGGUCUGAGAGGAUGAUCAGCCACACUGGAACUGAGCCACGGUCCAGCCUCCUACGGGAGGCAGCAGUGGGGAAUUUUGGCCAAUGGGCGAAAGCUUGACGCAGCCAUCCCGCGUGGGUGAAGAAGGUCUUCGGGUUGUAAAGCCCUUUUGUUGGGAAAGAAGAGCGGUAGAUUAAUACCUCGACGUUCUGACGGUACCUAAACAAAAAGCAACGGCUAACUACGUG
This 492-nucleotide ribosomal RNA is filed under the name uncultured bacterium. RNAcentral's name for it is "partial 16S ribosomal RNA". It matches the Rfam family "Bacterial small subunit ribosomal RNA", at positions 28 to 507 of the family's 1533-position model. The record is from RNAcentral.